CCAGUUGUAAACUAUAGCAAGCAAUCCUGUGGUUGGGCUUCGGCCCGGCCAUGGGUAACAUGGAUAACCCUGGUAAUUCUGAGGCUAAUACAAGAACGUACAACCUGGCUGACCGGCAACGGAAGGCUGGGGAACGUGCAACGUAUCGUAAUGGAUACCAGGAAAGGGUGCACGUUUGGACCGCGCUAAAAACAGUCCUUGGUAAACCCUCACGGGCGAGCCUUGGCCUGAGCGGCUCUUGCGGUGUGCUUCUGACCUAUCAACUAGACGGCAGCGUAAGGGACAUGCUAUGGUUACAACGGGUACAGAGGAUAAGGGUUCGAUCCUGGAGAGUGGGCCUGAGAGAUUGCUCAUACUUCUAAGGAAGGCAGCAGGCGCGCAACGUUCCCCUUGGGCAAUGCUCGAGGGCGUUAGGGGACAUA
This 422-nucleotide ribosomal RNA is filed under the name Lepidoderma trevelyanii. Its description in RNAcentral is "SSU rRNA". It matches the Rfam family "Eukaryotic small subunit ribosomal RNA", at positions 106 to 479 of the family's 1831-position model. The record is from RNAcentral. Lineage: Eukaryota; Evosea; Eumycetozoa; Physariida; Didymiaceae.